Molecule: RNA transcript, 2207 nt
Organism: Mangifera indica (mango)
Lineage: Eukaryota; Viridiplantae; Streptophyta; Magnoliopsida; Sapindales; Anacardiaceae
Gene name: putative protease Do-like 14
Exons: 12
Source: RefSeq, a predicted model, not a curated record
AGAAGUUUCUAGAAGCCUCUCUUCAAGAAAGGGUAGCCCUUCUCUGAAACACUAGGGUUUAUGCAAGGUUUUUGAAUCAAUCCCAAUUUUAUUUUCACCUCUGCGCACUCACUCAAAUUAAGAGGUUUUUCUUUUUCAUUAUUCAUCAUGCAUCGAUUACUGAGAAAGGUUUCGAUCUCAUUCUGUCCUCAAAAUCUCAUCCGAGCAGUGGCCAUGGCCACUGCCGGGUCUGGUCUUUUGUAUGCCUGUAGCAAUUCGGACUGUGGAGCAAGAAUAUCGCUGUCAUUUCCUGUGAUAUGGAAUGGAUCACCGUCUUUACAAUUUUUGCAAGGCUUUCGGGAACCUUCUCUGUUUACGUCAUCAGAAAAAUGGAAACUUGGGAAGCUCGAAUUUUUUUCAAGAGUCAGUUCAGCUCCUGCUGGAGAUGUAAAUUCCAGGGUCAGUCCAGCUUCCUCUGGAAAUAUUAAUGCUAAAGUCAGUCCAGCUCCUUCUGAAGCUGUGAAGAAACAGGAUGAUCCUGGUUCUGUUGUGGUCAAAGAUGAGGCAGAGCCACAUUGCAGAUGUUUAGGUAGAAAUACUAUUGCCAAUGCAGCUGCUAAAGUUGGUCCUGCUGUUGUCAAUAUAGCAGUUCCACAGGGUUUCCAUGGAAUUACUCUGGGAAAGAGUAUAGGCUCUGGAACAAUUAUAGAUGAAGAUGGUACUAUUUUGACAUGUGCUCAUGUUGUGGUUGAUUUUCAAGGCAUUCGUCGCGAAUCUAAAGGGAAGGUAGAUGUAACUCUGCAAGAUGGUCGGACAUUUGAGGGUACAGUGCUGAAUGCUGAUUUACAUUCUGAUAUUGCUAUUGUAAAGAUUAACUCUAAAACUCCUCUUCCAACUGCAAAACUUGGUUCUUCUAGUAAGCUUCGGCCUGGAGACUGGGUUUUGGCUGUGGGCUGCCCACUUUCUCUUCAAAACACUGUAACAGCUGGUAUUGUAAGUUGUGUUGAUCGUAAAAGCAGUGAUUUGGGUCUUGGUGGAAUGCGGAGAGAGUAUUUGCAAACAGAUUGCGCAAUCAAUGCGGGAAAUUCUGGAGGACCCCUGGUAAAUAUUGAUGGAGAAAUUGUUGGUGUCAAUAUUAUGAAAGUACAGGCUGCAGACGGAUUGAGCUUUGCUGUACCAGUGGAUGCGGUUGCCAAAAUUAUUGAGCAUUUCAAGAAGAGAGGGAGAGUUGUUCGACCUUGGCUUGGAUUGAAAAUGCUUGAUCUUAACAAGAUGAUUGUUGCUCAGCUUAAAGAAAGAGAUCCCUCAUUCCCUAAUGUCCAAAGGGGUGUUCUUGUACCUAUGGUGACACCUGGAUCUCCCGCUGACCGUGCUGGAUUCCAUCCUGGUGAUGUUGUUAUCAAAUUUGACGGGAAGCCUGUCGAAAGCAUCAAGGAGAUUAUAGAAAUAAUGGGAGAUCGGGUUGGGAUGCCUAUGAAGGUAGUUGUGCAAAGAGCAAAUGAUAAUGUGGUGAUUCUGACUGUAACUCCUGAGGAAGCUAAUCCAGAUAUGUGAAUAUUCAAACAAACGGAGCGGUAACGUUGCAUCAUAGAGUUUACGUGAAAACGGUUUUUACGCAUGAGACCUCCCAACGCUCCUGCUUCUAUUCGUAGCCCCACUUUAACCGCCAUUCCCCACCCGUCACUGCCACCUCCUGUAUGUUGCGGCUGCGCGACCGGCCUCCUGUGAUCAUUUCCAUAUGCUGAUAUUCCACUACGGCCAAGACCCAAUGGCAGGUAAUUACACCCACUUGCGGGUGUUUGCGGUGGAGUCAGAGAUUGUGGAGUUCCUCCACACCCUGGCAGUAGAGGUGGUGGCAAAGCUUGUGGGAAUCUUGCCAGUGGUGGGUUCGAUGAGUAAGGGGUGGAAUGGGUGAAAAACUUUGUGAAGGUGUAUAUUCGCCUUUAUCUGACAGCAGAUACCCCCCCUUUUAACGGCGGAGGGUGUAGAAAAUUAAACCAUGCAUGAUGAUCCGGAGGUGAAAACUUGAAAGAAACAUUUAAAACUCCCUUAGCCCGACCGCCAGGAGUUGUGAUAUUGUAAGAAAUAUUAUUCUUUUUGUCUGACCUAUUAUUACUCUAAUUCAACAUUUCUUGAAUAGAAAUAUUAACUCCUCUGAGGUCGCAGUCGCGGAAACAGCAGCGACUGACUCCGACACUGUAAUUAAUAUGAAGAUUACUUUGUGACAA